This is a non-coding RNA of Cladorrhinum sp. PSN332, 94 nucleotides long. NCBI's taxonomy places the organism in Eukaryota, Fungi, Ascomycota, Sordariomycetes, Sordariales, Podosporaceae. The record is from the annotation of a GenBank genome assembly.
UGCUCCGUGGCGCAAUUGGUUAGCGCGUCUGACUGCUAAGCAUCGGGAUUGACAAAUAAUCAGGAGGGUGGAAGUUCAAGCCUUCCCGGAGAAG